Microtus oregoni (creeping vole) is the source of this 400-nucleotide non-coding RNA. The record is from the annotation of a RefSeq genome assembly. Lineage: Eukaryota; Metazoa; Chordata; Mammalia; Rodentia; Cricetidae.
UUCAUAUUAAGUUCUCAGAAUGACAUAUCCUUACCAGCUCCUGGGACUGCUUGUGCUCUGGAUCUCUGGAGCCAGUGGGGAUAUUGUGCUGACCCAGGAUGCACACUCCAUUCCUGUAACUCCUGGAGAGUCAGCUUCCAUCUCCUGCAGGUCUAGUAAAAGUCUCCUAUAUACUAAUGGCAAAACUUACUUACAUUGGUACCGCCAGAAACCAGGGCAGUCUCCAGAACUUUUGAUCUAUCUAACAUCUAACCGUGCUACUGGAGUCCCAGACAGGUUCCAUGGCAGUGGGUCAGGGACAGAUUUCACACUGAAAAUCAGUAAAGUAGAGGUUGAGGAUGUGGGUGUUUAUUUUUGUCAGCAAGGUCUAGAACAUCCUCCCACAAUGUUACAGUCCUGA